UGCGUAGGCGGAUUAAUAAGUCAGUGGUGAAAUCUUUCGGCUCAACCGAGAAACUGCCAUUGAUACUGUUAAUCUCGAGUUCGGUUGAGGUAGGCGGAAUGUGUAAUGUAGCGGUGAAAUGCUUAGAUAUUACACAGAACACCAAUUGCGUAGGCAGCUUACUAGACCGACACUGACGCUGAGGCACGAAAGCGUGGGGAGCGAACAGGAUUAGAUACCCUGGUAGUCC
RNAcentral lists this ribosomal RNA (229 nucleotides) under uncultured bacterium. Its description in RNAcentral is "partial 16S ribosomal RNA". It matches the Rfam family "Bacterial small subunit ribosomal RNA", at positions 568 to 796 of the family's 1533-position model. The record is from RNAcentral.